Molecule: ribosomal RNA, 562 nt
Filed under: uncultured bacterium
Lineage: Bacteria
Description: bacterial SSU rRNA
Rfam family: Bacterial small subunit ribosomal RNA
Source: RNAcentral
CCUACGGGAGGCAGCAGUGGGGAAUAUUGGACAAUGGGGGAAACCCUGAUCCAGCAAUGCCGCGUGAGUGAUGAAGGCCUUAGGGUCGUAAAGCUCUUUUACCAGGGAUGAUAAUGACAGUACCUGGAGAAUAAGCUCCGGCUAACUCCGUGCCAGCAGCCGCGGUAAUACGGAGGGAGCUAGCGUUGUUCGGAAUUACUGGGCGUAAAGCGUGCGUAGGCGGUUAUUCAAGUCAGAGGUGAAAGCCCGGGGCUCAACCCCGGAACGGCCUUUGAAACUAGAUAACUAGAAUCUUGGAGAGGUCAGUGGAAUUCCGAGUGUAGAGGUGAAAUUCGUAGAUAUUCGGAAGAACACCAGUGGCGAAGGCGACUGACUGGACAAGUAUUGACGCUGAGGUACGAAAGCGUGGGGAGCAAACAGGAUUAGAUACCCUGGUAGUCCACGCCGUAAACGAUGAUAACUAGCUGUCCGGACACUUGGUGUUUGGGUGGCGCAGCUAACGCAUUAAGUUAUCCGCCUGGGGAGUACGGUCGCAAGAUUAAAACUCAAAUGAAAUUGACGG